This 619-nucleotide ribosomal RNA is filed under the name Ulva tepida. RNAcentral's name for it is "eukaryotic LSU rRNA". The stretch from base 239 to 393 matches the Rfam family "5.8S ribosomal RNA". Lineage: Eukaryota; Viridiplantae; Chlorophyta; Ulvophyceae; Ulvales; Ulvaceae. The record is from RNAcentral.
CUGCGGAGGGAUCAUUGAAACCGAUCAAUCCAACCACAGAGCACCUGUGGGUCCGCCCCCAGCCCGGUGCCGUCCCCUCUCGGGGGCGCCCGGGGGGUUUCGGGGCGGGCCCGCCGUAUUCUAAGGGUCCGCCGGUCGCCCCCUCGGGGGAGGCCGGUCCCGGAUCCCCAACCCAUCUGAACCCUUCUGCCCUGAAGCAGCUUCGCAAGGGGACACCCCGAGCGACAGUAACAGAGACAACUCUCAACAACGGAUAUCUUGGCUCUCGCAACGAUGAAGAACGCAGCGAAAUGCGAUACGUAGUGUGAAUUGCAGAAUUCCGUGAGUCAUCGAAUCUUUGAACGCACAUUGCCGGUCGACUCUUCGGAGGAGACCACAUCUGCCUCAGCGUCGGGAUACCCCCUCACGCACAACCGCGCGUGGAUCUGGCCCCCCCGGCCCCCCUCGCAGGGGACCGGGCCGGCUGAAAUGCAGAGGCCCGUGCGCGGCCCACUUGUGGCCCCGACUAGGUAGGUAGCUCGCUACUGCUAGGCGGCGGCUCGGUGCCGCGGACUUUGGGCCGCAAAGGAUACUCCCAUUCAUUCGACCUGAGUUCAGGUGAGGCUACCCGCUGAACUUA